RNAcentral lists this ribosomal RNA (463 nucleotides) under uncultured bacterium. RNAcentral's name for it is "partial 16S ribosomal RNA". It matches the Rfam family "Bacterial small subunit ribosomal RNA", at positions 28 to 507 of the family's 1533-position model. The record is from RNAcentral.
GACGAACGCUGGCGGCGUGCUUAACACAUGCCAGUCGAACGGAAAGGCCUUUUCGGCGGUCCUCGAGUGGCGAACGGGUGAGUAACACGUGGGUGAUCUGCCCUGCACUCUGGUAUAAGCCUGGGAAAGUGGGUCUAAUACCGGAAAGGACCGCACUUUCGUGUGUGUGUUGGAAAGUUUUUUGGGGGUAUUGUGCGCCCGCGGCCUAUCGGCUUGUUUGUGGGGUAUUGGCCUACCAAGGCGGCCACAGGCAGCCGGACUGUGAGGUUGGGCGGCCAUAUUGGGACUGAGAGGAGGCCGCGGCGCCGACGAGAGGAAGAAGUGGGGAAGAUUGCACAAGGGGCGCAAGCCGGAUGCAGAGAGGCCGCGGGGUGGAAGACGGUCUUCGGGUGGUAGAAUCGGUUCGCCAGGGACGAAGCGUUUUGUGACGGUACCUGGAGAAGAAGCACCGGCUAACUACGUG